AUUUACUUACUGUUGGCUAUUUCU
This 24-nucleotide small nuclear RNA is filed under the name Arabidopsis thaliana (thale cress). RNAcentral describes it as "snRNA_13027". Lineage: Eukaryota; Viridiplantae; Streptophyta; Magnoliopsida; Brassicales; Brassicaceae. The record is from RNAcentral.